UCUGACCGCACCCUCUUUGCUUUUUAAAAAAUGCCUUUUCACUCUUUAAGAUAAAUCCACUAUUAUACGAUCUGCCACUAAUUGUGUAUUAAGACUGUUUUUUUCACUCGAAAGCUGACGCAUCCCGCGCUCAACGUGGUGUAGAAAGCAGGCUGUUACAGUGCUGGAUUAAUAAAAGGGGCCUUUAUGGUUUGUGAAAGAAUAUCUCUGUGCUUAGGCAGGAAACUUUUUGAUCCACAGAAAAGCCAGACGACAUCUAGAGCAAGAGAAGCCAAGUUUAGGAGCAUGCAUAUUGUGAUAUCCUCAGUGAUUUCUUUUACCAUGCAUUCUGCUCAGGCCAG
Molecule: long non-coding RNA, 341 nt
Filed under: Columba livia (rock pigeon)
Lineage: Eukaryota; Metazoa; Chordata; Aves; Columbiformes; Columbidae
Description: partial uncharacterized LOC102091329
Source: RNAcentral